RNAcentral lists this long non-coding RNA (487 nucleotides) under Vigna radiata. RNAcentral's name for it is "long non-coding RNA (VRAD_LNC018249)". The record is from RNAcentral. Lineage: Eukaryota; Viridiplantae; Streptophyta; Magnoliopsida; Fabales; Fabaceae.
AGUGAUUCAAUUGGCUUUAAGAAACUAUGGAUGAAUGGAGUUGUUGGGGUUUACAAUUUCAUCUUAUCCAUCCUCAUAUAUCUACUCUUCUUAUUUAAUUUGCUUAUUUAUCAUAUUGCCAUGCAAACUUUCUUAGUCUACCCUUAACCCAAUCCAUUGGUGAAAAGAGCCUCUUACUAAUUACCAGCUUGCUAUCCCUAGCCUCCCCUAGUAAUUAAUAAUGCAUGAUAAGCGGAAGCAAAAUACAAUUGAUCGUCCUACUCCUAUCCCUAGGCGGUAUUAGCAUAAUCAAGGAAUUCAACACCAGUUCAUGACAUUACUGUACGUCCCCGUAUAAGUAAAGACAAACAACAUUUACCGAAUGAGUUAAAUGAUAAAAGCAUUAAGCAAAGGUGAAGAACCCAACAAUUGAUAAAUCAAUCAUAUGCAAGCAUAUAAAAUAAAUAAGAAUUUGGAUAUAUGAGAGUUUCAAAAGAUUACAUUGUUC